Passer domesticus (house sparrow) is the source of this 3134-nucleotide long non-coding RNA. RefSeq lists it as uncharacterized. The record is from RefSeq and is a predicted model, not a curated record. Lineage: Eukaryota; Metazoa; Chordata; Aves; Passeriformes; Passeridae. The transcript has 3 exons.
GGAACUUCCUGUGCUUCCAUGUCACACGUGGCAACUGCCCAGAGAAAAUCUACUGUGAUAUGAAGAGGCCCUCCUUUUCAAGGACUUACCAGCAGCCCUGGCUAACUGGGGAGGUUCCGGUGGUCUGGAGGUUGGCCAAUAUAGCACCCAUCUACAAGAAAGGCCAGAAGAAGGAUUCAGGGAACUAUGGGCCUAUCAGCCUGACCUCAGUCCUGGGAAAGGUCAUGGAGAAAAUCUUCCUGAGUGCCAUCACAUGGCAUGUGCAGGACAGCCAGGGGAUCAGGUCUAGACAGCAUGGAUUUAGGAAAAGCACGUCCUGCUUAACCAGCUUGAUCUCCCGCUUUGAUUAAGUGACUCAUUAUUCAGUGGGGGAAAGGCUGCAGAUGCUCCCUGAGUGAACUUUAGUAAAGCCUUUGACACUGCUUCCCACAGCAUUCUCCUGAAGAAACUGGCUGUGUCUUGUGUGAAUGAGUUCUCUCUUCUUUGGGUAGAAAACUGGCUGGAUGGCCAGGCCCAGAGUGACCAUGAAUGGAGUUAGAUUCAUCUGGAGCCCACUCAUUAGCAGUGUUCUCCAGGGCUCAGUGUUAGAAGCAUUCUUGUUUAACGUCUUUACUGAUGAUAUGCAUGAACGUACCUCAGAAAGUUCACCCCAGUAAGAUAACACCAAGUUGGAUGAAGUGUUGAUCUGCUGAAGGGCAGGAAGGCUCUGCAGAGGUGUUAGCGUUCUGGAACACAUAAUCAUGGAAUGAUUAUGUACAGGCCCCUCUCUACAAGAAAGACAUUGAGGAGCUGGUGCAUGUCCAGAGAAGUGUAACAGAGCCUGUGAAGGGUCUGGAGAAAAGACUGGUGAGGAGCAGAUGAGGGAGCUGGGGUUGUCUAGCCUGGAGAAAAGGAGGCUCAGGGGAGACCUUAUCAUUCUCUACAAGUACCUGAAAGCAGGUUGUGGCCAGAUGUGUGGUUGGUCUCCUCUAUCAGGCAACUAGUGACAGGACUAGAAGAAAUGGCCUCAGGUUGCAGAAGAAGAGGUUUAGAUUGGAUAUUAGGAAAAAUUUCUUCACUAAAAGCAUUAUCAAGCAUUGGAGAAGACUGCCCAAAGUGAUUGAAUCACCAUCUUUGGAGGUUUUUAAAGAAUGUGUAUAUGCUGCACUUGGGACAUGGUUUUAGUGAUGGAUUUGGCAAUGAUACAUUUGGACACAAUGAUCUUAGACUUCUUUUCCAACUUGAAUUAUUCCAUUUUUCUAUAAUAUGUAAUUUGGAGCUUUUUAUUAAUUUUUUAAUACAUUAUGCAUGUGGAGUCACUGUGAAGGUCAAGACAAAAGUAAAAAGGAGUAACUAGUAUACCCUUUGCAAAUAUCUGAGGUGCUUCUGGAUAUUUCUGUGAAAAAAAAAAAAAAAAAAACAACAAAAAAAACCUUUUUGUGAGCUCAUUUUUACCUGCAUCUAUAGAACUUUGUAGUGAAACCUUUCCCCAAAACCAAAAAGCUCUUUUACCCAAACAACCAGCAAAGGCCACUGUAGGAAGAUAUCAAGAUUGACUCCCAGAUAUGUAAGAGCACCAUGGCUGUGUCUAGAAAGAAGCCCUACAUCCUGCACUCAUUGUCACCUAGACUUUCUCCAGCAGAUCCUCACUGCAAAACUUGGUCUCCAGAGCAACCAAGAUCAGCCUGGAUAUUUAUCUCAUUUCUAGGCCAUUAUUUUGUAUUUGCCUUCCCCCGUACUCUUUUAGGUAUGAUUCUUGCUUUGAUUCACUUAAAAUCAGCCUAGAUGUGUUGUCUGGGAUGUGCCACUUGUUCUGUUAUGGCCAUUUGUCUUUCACUAUACUCUCCUUUGCAGGUUUGAACUUCAUCUAGGUCUCUUUCUUGCUCAAGUAUUAUGUAUGCAUUCUAAAAAUUUAAAACUCCUAAGAUCUUCUCUGUCCUACAUAUUGUACAUCAUAUUACAUCCAUGUUUCCCCCAACCUCUUUUCAGAGAAGUAUCAGCCUUGUUAUGAAGCCCAGCAGUGAAAUACUUGGAUAAACUGAUAACAAAGCACAGCUAUUGGAUCCACUCUGUGGACCUUUUUGCAACCAGCUUUCUUAACUCCCUGUCUUCAUCACUGCUAUAAUCAGUUUUAGAGGUAUAUAGGUAAUUCUGAAAAUGAAACUGUGUAUGUUUGAUAUAUGUAUAGUCCAAAUGUACAGAAGGGCAAAAGAGCUUAAUGAGAAGAUAGUUUUAUAUUCCCUCUUAGGGAAUAGAAAAUAACCCUAAACACAUAGUCAAAAAAGAUUGAGAAAAGAUUUUUUCAAAACAUAGAGCUUGUUACGCAGAUGUUUCAUAACCUCUCAGAAAUAUUUAUCUAUAUGUCUGUCAACAUGCAUGCAUAAAAUAUAGCUAUAACUUCCAAAAUUAAAAUUCAUGUUUAUUUUAUUUAUAAAAAUAAUUUUAUUUACAUAAUCUUUCAAACUAACAGAAUAACAACUGCAAAAUUUCCCUUGCCACAACGUAUCUUGUCAUUAAUGUGUGUACAUCAUCAAACCAACGUCUCUUAAGAUGCACUAACAAAAUAUACCAUCAAAAUUGUAUUGCUUAGAAGAUAUAUAUCUCAAAUAUAAGUCCAAUUGGCAAUAAAGAAUAUAUUCAGAUAUUUAACUUUUUUUCUGUGUGUUUCAGAUAACUUAGGUUAUUUGAAUAUGUAGUUGAAGUUUAGAAUGCUACUAGAUCUCAAAAAAUGCUCAAUUGUACUUCAAUAUGUGAAAAUUGAUUUUCCAAAAUAUUGUUAUUUAUUUUUACUAGUUAUUCAAUGUAUUAGUAGUCUUUUUAUUUGUUUUUAUUCUUCAUUUUAAGAGUGUUCAGACACAUGUUGAUUAAAUUGUAUAAUUUUCUUUCUCAUAUAUGAUAAACGUGAUUUGAAGCUAACACUGUCAAAUUGCAUUCCCAGUUUAAACCUUUGUUCAAAAAAACUGUUCAUGAAGUUUCACAUUGUAUUACAUUAUUACAAGACAUUACUUUUAGUAUCAGUGGUAUCUGUCCAAGUGAAUCUACCACAAAAUGCAUUAUUGAUUAGGGUUUAAUAAAUAAUUUGUUACAAUGGAUUUAUUUUUAAAAAAUAGCCUAUUUUCUACAUGUGGAAGAUCUUCCAGCAAAGAAAUAAACAA